This 538-nucleotide unclassified non-coding RNA is filed under the name Hevea brasiliensis (rubber tree). The record is from RNAcentral. Lineage: Eukaryota; Viridiplantae; Streptophyta; Magnoliopsida; Malpighiales; Euphorbiaceae.
GGGUUAUCAUUUGGAGGAUUCUCGACGUUACCACAGAAGCAGAAAUAAGUUUUAGGGAUUUGAGAUUUCGCAUACACUGAUCUGCAUUUGGGACAGUUCCAGGUGGAGGUUUCCGCCGCUCUGUCAGGGGAGAUGGGCAGGCGCGUGGCGGCACGGUAGGCGGAGAGAUCAGAGGCCUGGCGGGCCCAGGAUUGAAUGCAGAGGAGGUGAAAAACAGCGUAACAGAGGGAAGUGCAGGACCAAGUGGGAUCCGAGGGCUUGAUCCGCUCGAGGCAUAUAAGGCAUGAUAGUGCGCCGGAGGAGGAAGAGUUGAGAAAAGAUUGGAUUUUGGAGAGGUCGUGAGGAGUUGGUGGUGAGUUGGAGGAUUGUGAUUGGUUGGUGGUGUGCUCGAAGUAGGAUUUGAAAAUGGAGUUUGAGAAGUCUGUGUGGCGAUGGCGGUUGCCGUGGUGUGAUUCGGUGUGGGAUUGAUCAGGAUCGGAAUCGCAAUCGGAAUCCGAUAAAGGCUGUUGGCAAUUGGCAGAGGACAUUUUUGGGAAUU